UACGUAGGGGCUAGCGUUGUCCGGAUUUAUUGGGCGUAAAGAGCGUGUAGGCGGCCAUGUAGGUCCGGUGUGAAAACUCGAGGCUUAACCUCGAGAUGUCAUCGGAAACCAUUUGGCUAGAGUCCGGAAGAGGAGAGUGGAAUUCCUGGUGUAGCGGUGAAAUGCGCAGAUAUCAGGAAGAACACCAAUGGCGAAAGCAGCUCUCUGGGACGGUACUGGACGCUGAGACGCGAAAGCGUGGGGAGCGAACAGG
Molecule: ribosomal RNA, 253 nt
Filed under: uncultured bacterium
Lineage: Bacteria
Description: partial 16S ribosomal RNA
Rfam family: Bacterial small subunit ribosomal RNA
Source: RNAcentral